Molecule: ribosomal RNA, 448 nt
Filed under: uncultured bacterium
Lineage: Bacteria
Description: SSU rRNA
Rfam family: Bacterial small subunit ribosomal RNA
Source: RNAcentral
AGAGCGAACGCUGGCGGCAGGCCUAACACAUGCAAGUCGAGCGCCCGUAGCAAUACGGGAGCGGCAGACGGGAUAGUAACACGUGGGAACGCGCCCUUCGGUUCGGAAUAACUCAGGGAAACUUGAGCUAAUACCGGAUACGCCCUUACGGGGAAAGAUUUAUUGCCGAAGGAACGGCCCGCGUCCGAUUAGCUAGUUGGUGAGGUAAUGGCUCACCAAGGCGACGAUCGGUAGCUGGUCUGAGAGGAUGACCAGCAUCACUGGGACUGAGACACGGCCCAGACUCCUACGGGAGGCAGCAGUGGGGAAUAUUGGACAAUGGGCGCAAGCCUGAUCCAGCCAUGCCGCGUGGAUGAUGAAGGCCUUAGGGUUGUAAAGUCCUUUUAACGGGGAAGAUAAUGACGGUACCCGUAGAAUAAGCCCGGCUAACGUUCGCGCCAGCAGCCGC